GAGGAGAGGAGAGGAGAGGGGGGAAAGAGAGACAGGGGUCAGGCGGGCACCAGACCCCCGUCCCACCUCCACCCCGCGGACGUUCCCGGCCGCCCCGACGGCUCAGCACGCGGGACAGCUCCAGCCCCCCCCCAACCCGUCCCGGGACCGCUCCCCCCGCCCCACGGCGGUGCCGGUGCCGGUGCCGGUGGGUCAUGCUUCAGUAGCCAUGACUGUAGACUGUUACUGUCCUGUCCCUACGCAGCAGUAAGCAGUCUAGAGCCAAGGUGCCGAUGCGCUGACUCGGGCUCUCCUCGACGGGGUCUCUCCACGCUCUUCCGACGGUCGGGGUGAAGGCGACAUAGAGCUCGGGUGUGUCCUGUUGUCCUACGGAGCAUCAACACCAAGGGAUGGGGUCCCAUCAUCAUCGUCACAAAGGAAUCGAUCCCAUCAUCGCACCACGCGCCAUCCUAAAGGGGUAUGGUCCCAUUAUCCUGUCAUAAGAAGUCCCAAAGGGAUGGAAUCCCAUCACCAUUGUCCCAGGAUUAUGGAGUCCCAUAUAUCAUGCCAAAGGAAUGGGGUCCCCUGCCUCAGGGUCAUCCUGAAGGCGUCCUGCCAUCCCACUGAGGAAGGGCUCUCACUUAUCCAUUAAACAUCACUUGGCAGAGAGGGUUCUGCUUGUAUGGGUGAGCAUCAUCCCACACUGAAGGGGAACCCACUGCCCCAUCAAGUGGCACCACACAAAGAAAAGGGUCCCCAUCUCCCCACCAAGGUGAUGGGAACCUCCUGAAGGCCAACAAGGAGCUGUGCAGAGCCCUGCAUUGGGAACCUCGGGCAUGGGGUGUGGGAUACAUGGCAACCCAUGGGGUCCUGGUGGGCAAUGAAGGGUGACGGUGUCCUGGUGGGAGCCCAUGGGGACUGGGGGGCUGUGGGGUGUCCUCCAUGGGGGUCUGAAUGUGGUGCUGGGUACCGGCUCUGGGGGUGGGGGGUGGCAUUGUGGGGCUGGGUGGGACCACAGGGACCUCUAACCUCAGCCGUCAUGGGAUUCUGCCCCUCGUUCAGCUGAGCAUCACCCCACAGGGAGGGGUCUCACAGGACGCUGCCUCUCGGGGGAGGAACCCCUCACCUAUCUGCACAUUGCUCCCCAGGGAGGGGUCCCAAAACCCACCCCACAGCGAAGGGGUCUCAUCACUUCCCAUGGCAUUGCCCCACAAGGAAGAGAUCCCACUGCCCCACAAAGCAUCACCCCAUCGAGAAGAGCCUUCCACCCAUCCCAUUACCGCCCCACAGUUCAGAUUCCCCCUCACCCACCCUGCCCCAUUGGGGCCACGCAGCACAGUGCAACCCCUGGCCCCAAAACAGGGGCUGGUGAUACUGGAGGGCACCUGGAAGAGCUCAGCACAGGCACAGAAGGUGACCCCGCAGCCCACACCCAACAGAGGGCAGCUCACUGCUGUCACGAGUUUCACGGCCUCAGCUCAGCGACGCCGGUGCACGAACGGGACCCGAGUGUCACCGUGUCGGGAGGGGACUCAGCCUCCUUCAAGGGGCCACACAGGGGCUGUGGGGGCUGCUGUGCCCCCGGCACCGCCGGGAAAAUGAAGUGCGAGCUGCCAGCGGGGCUCCAGGCUCCUGGCGGUGCCGGAUGCGGCCCGGCUGGCCAACGCCGUAAUCGAACACAUGUGUGUGGGCUUCGGGGAGAGGCUGCGCUGGGAAACGGGGCCCUACAGAGACCGGGGGGCUGCAUCCUGUCCAACAGCCCAGGUCCCACAUGAAGCCAGGCGUGCGAGCUCGAUCCAAACCACAGCUGGAUUUGAACCCAA
Molecule: long non-coding RNA, 1802 nt
Organism: Coturnix japonica (Japanese quail)
Lineage: Eukaryota; Metazoa; Chordata; Aves; Galliformes; Phasianidae
Source: RefSeq, a predicted model, not a curated record